AUUGAACGCUGGCGGCAGGCCUGACACAUGCAAGUCGAGCGGAUGAAGGGAGCUUGCUCCUGGAUUCAGCGGCGGACGGGUGAGUAAUGCCUAGGAAUCUGCCUGGUAGUGGGGGAUAACGUCCGGAAACGGGCGCUAAUACCGCAUACGUCCUGAGGGAGAAAGUGGGGGAUCUUCGGACCUCACGCUAUCAGAUGAGCCUAGGUCGGAUUAGCUAGUUGGUGGGGUAAAGGCCUACCAAGGCGACGAUCCGUAACUGGUCUGAGAGGAUGAUCAGUCACACUGGAACUGAGACACGGUCCAGACUCCUACGGGAGGCAGCAGUGGGGAAUAUUGGACAAUGGGCGAAAGCCUGAUCCAGCCAGGCCGCGUGUGUGUAGAAGGUCUUCGGAUUGUAAAGCACUUUAAGUUGGGAGGAAGGGCAGUAAGUUAAUACCUGGCUGUUUUGACGUUACCAACAGAAUAAGCACCGGCGAACUUCGU
Molecule: ribosomal RNA, 483 nt
Filed under: uncultured bacterium
Lineage: Bacteria
Description: partial 16S ribosomal RNA
Rfam family: Bacterial small subunit ribosomal RNA
Source: RNAcentral